CAGCCGCCGCGGGAAUACGUAGGGUGCGAGCGUUGUCCGGAAUUACUGGGCGUAAAGAGCUCGUAGGCGGUUUGUCGCGUCGUCUGUGAAAUUCUGCAGCUUAACUGUAGGCGUGCAGGCGAUACGGGCAGACUUGAGUACUACAGGGGAGACUGGAAUUCCUGGUGUAGCGGUGAAAUGCGCAGAUAUCAGGAGGAACACCGGUGGCGAAGGCGGGUCUCUGGGUAGUAACUGACGCUGAGGAGCGAAAGCGUGGGUAGCGAACAGGAUUAGAUACCCCCGUAGUCCCUGUCUCUUAUAC
This 301-nucleotide ribosomal RNA is filed under the name uncultured bacterium. RNAcentral describes it as "partial 16S ribosomal RNA". It matches the Rfam family "Bacterial small subunit ribosomal RNA", at positions 509 to 807 of the family's 1533-position model. The record is from RNAcentral.